UACAGAGGGGGCAAGCGUUGUUCGGAAUUACUGGGCGUAAAGGGCGCGUAGGUGGCCUUCUAAGUUGAACGUGAAAUCCCUGGGCUCAACCCAGGAACUGCGUCCAAGACUGGGAGGCUUGAAUCCGGGAGAGGGAUGCGGAAUUCCAGGUGUAGCGGUGAAAUGCGUAGAUAUCUGGAGGAACACCGGUGGCGAAGGCGGCAUCCUGGACCGGUAUUGACACUGAGGCGCGAAAGUCAGGGGAGCAAACGGG
Molecule: ribosomal RNA, 253 nt
Filed under: uncultured bacterium
Lineage: Bacteria
Description: partial 16S ribosomal RNA
Rfam family: Bacterial small subunit ribosomal RNA
Source: RNAcentral